This is a long non-coding RNA of Fukomys damarensis (Damara mole-rat), 2494 nucleotides long. RefSeq lists it as uncharacterized. The transcript has 3 exons. NCBI's taxonomy places the organism in Eukaryota, Metazoa, Chordata, Mammalia, Rodentia, Bathyergidae. The record is from RefSeq and is a predicted model, not a curated record.
UGAAAAUCCUACCGUAUAAGAAAAGCUCAGAGGGAAAACAAGCUCUGCCCCCGACCUUGUCCCGUGCCCUGGCUCCUCCCUCCGGCACCCCCAGCGCUCCCCACCCCUCCGCUGUCCUGCCUCUCAUGCUUUACUCCCCAGCUCUCCCCCUGCUGCUUCCACUCUGCUUUCCCCACACUACUUGCUUGCCUUGCUUUACCACCCUCCUCCUCCUCCUCCACCUAGAAUCUGAGCCUCAUGAGCCGAAGCUUGUUCUGUUGGCAGCCUCGUUACCCCACAGGGCCCUGCAGCUGGCACAUGACUUGGGCCGAUAUUAUCUGCUGGAUGAGUGAGAGGUGACUUUUUAACACCACAAAAUCCACAGCUUUAAUGGGAACCACUACGAAUCGGGAAUAAGUAACAACAGCAGAGGGGCUUCAGGAUGGCUGGAUACAGAAGCUGAGCCCAAGGAGCCCGGCAGGCCAGAAGUUGCCUACUGGAUGUCAGCUGUGUGCCAACCACUGUCUUCAGGGACAGUCACUGCCCAGUCCCUUUCUGGUUUGGAAGAAGCAAGGGAGACGGGGGACCAUGACUUAAACAUUCAUCUUCUUUAAAUACCAGACCCAAGGAGGGAUGCGCUGGCCGUGUGCAUGUAUGGAAAGGGUGUGUCGGGUACCAUGAGGAGGAUGGCUGUGGCCAAGCGCUGCCCAGGGUGGCGGGAGGAUGGAGCUGUGUGGGCUCGCAGUUCUGCAGCCCCGCAGGAUGGUUCCCCUGAGGGCAGCUCCACUCCGGGAAGGAGGUCUCUCCAUCCACCUUCGCUCUGUGUGCUCUUCGUGCCCAAACUGCCCCUUUCCUGAGGACGCCAGUCUCAUGGGUGCAGUGCCCACCUGAAUGUCUCUCUGUGGCUUGGUUUUCUGUUUACAGACCCACCUCCAAAUACCUCCUGUUCUGAGGUGCUGGGGCUUACGUCUUCAGCAUUUGAAUUUCUGGUGGACGGAAUUCGACCAUGGCUCACUCCCUCUCUGUCCAGCUACGGAGAGUGGUGGACAGUGAGGACGCUCAGUCAGCAGCAGCUCCGCCACACCGCGGAGGAUGGGUUCAGGGAGGUGAUGGGGCAGGCCCCUCCCCGGGUGGAGGUUACAUUCUCUCUGCAGCCUGGGUCUGAGGGCUGCGCACACAGAGGAGAGGACCUCCGCUGGGCUCCAGGCCAGGGGCUGUGGAUAAGAGGUGGACGGCAUCGUCCCGAGAAACAGCACCUGCAGAAGGAGGAAAACCCAUGUAACCCAAGGCUCCAGCUGCUGGGGCACUGCAGUCAGGUGACUCUGAGUAUGACUUGAGGACAAAUGGAGGAGGCCUCCGCUCUCUGCAUCAGUCACCAGCAGCCAGGCGACCCUGGACGAGUGCAUGUUGCUCUGGAGCUCGUUCCUCCCAGGUAAGCCUCCUCCCUCGGGCUCACAUGCUGGACACACGAGGCCCACACGGCCUGGACAGCAGUCUGCAUUACUCAGUCGCUGUGCAUUUUGUGCGAAUCUGACUUAAAAUAUCCCAGACCGCCCCUAGACCAGCCUGUGAACAAACAUCAGGCAACUCUGGCCUCUCUGAGCUGAUGCGGAGUCAUCCCUGACUGCCUCUGUCCCCGUGCCAGGGACAGGAGUGUGCCCACGCCAGCUCUGCCCACGCACCGUCACUGGGCCCACCCUGCUGCGCCCGAGCUCUCAGGUCCUCCGGGUGGGUGGCAGGUGCCCCCCAGGGCUGGCGAGCUGGGGUGCGAAGCCCAUGGGUUCCAUCUGCUCUGUGGACAUGCUGGGCAAAGGGGUGGCUGCCCGAGGCCACUGUGCAGGGCUGGCUUCCCACCAAGACAGCUCCUGCAUGUGUGCACUGUCCCUCGGGAGACCGCCCCCACUGCCCCAGUCCUUUCUCACCCCUACCCAUGCUGGGACUGUUUCCAGGAAAACAGCCCACAUCCAGUCCAUCGGGGCUGCCGCAUAAGAGCCAGCACUGCCUCAGGCAAAACCGGUGUGUUUGUCUCCUGCAGUCCGGCAUCAGGCUCGGAGAACAGAUCCGGCUCACGGAGCUUCCAGAAUCCCACAGGAUCUACAUGGUGCCGGCUCAUGGAAUAAUGAAUAAUUGUGGAAGGAAGGAUGGGAGGAGGAGGGAGGGAGGGAGGAUAGCUGGAGGGCAGGCAGGAGGAAGAGGGCCGAGGCCAGGGCCCAGCGUGUCCCCUGCUUUCCUCCCACAGGCUCCCUCAGGCCGCCUCACUCAUGGACCCCAGUAGCAGUGGUUGCUAAGGCUUAGCAGCUGUUCAGAUGUGCCUGGCACCACCCCAGGGCUUUGCAGUAAAUCCUCAGAACCACCCGAGGAGAUCAUUCUGUUAUCAUCCCUGCUUCGGAAAAACUGAGGCACAGGGAGAUACUAGCUCUGCACAGAUUACUGAACUAGAAUGUGGCAAGGCUUGAAUUCGGACUGAAGGAGCCGGAUUCAGUGUUCUUUCAGCUGUUCUCUUUGACCUCCCUCC